CUCCCAGCUAUGUCUCCCUCCUGUUUCUCAUUCCCCAAUUACCUCCCUGUGUAUAUAAGCCCUGUGUGUUCCCGUGCUCUCUGUCGUGUCAUACCCUCAGAUUAUGCCUGUGUGUUUUUGGUUUCAGUAUUCACUUCAUGUUUUGUUUACAUGCCAGCAAUAAAGCUGAGGUUUUGAGUUACAAUUCUGUGUUCGAGUCCUGCAUUUGGAUCCUCAUCUCCACCUGCCUGCAGACAGAGCCCUGACAAGAAAUGUAUACAUACUGUGCCAGCAUGCUGAGGUUUUACCAUAUUACUCAAAAAUUACAGUUCAUUGGGAGCUGCUGCUCAGAAUCUCAUUGAAUCAGCAGGAUUAUAAGCCCAAACACAGCUCAAAGCUCUGAUGAAGAGAAGAAGUUUCCAAAUGAGCCACUGUGUUCAUCUGGUUUGAAUUCCAGGAGCUCUUAGGACAUAAGACACCUUUGUUCUUGCAGCUAUUUUUCAGGCUGUUGAGAGCUGCAGGCAGUAACUGAAUUAUCUAUUGUAGCAUUGUCUAGUGACACAUUUGUCCAAAAAAACAAUCCAGAAACAUCAAUGCACUGUAUUCACAAUUCCAUCAUGCAGGUGCUGUAAAAGACCUCACUAUGACCAGGAAUUUGGACCAUGUCAAUCUCUCACAUCUUUACACUGGUUUUCAUUGUAUCAGAAAAUCCCUGGCUUUAUUAACUUCACCUUAAGUAACUCAUCUGAUUAUCUACUAAUUACUAACCAUAACCUGAACCCUAUGUUGUUCUUCUUUGUUCUCUUUUGGAGUUAUUGACAGCUGAUCAUCUGCCUCCAUUUCACCUGCUUGCUUUCUUUUCUGUCACACCAACCCUAACCCAGUUCUUGACCGAUCCUCUAUGGAAAUUUCAUUCAUAAUGAUCUGCACGUUCGAUUUGACAAAGAUUUGACACCACAUGCCCUUACUGACACAACUCUUCCUGGACUUUGCUGCAGCACUGGGAGUACAUUGACCUGGUCCAAGGCAAAUUUUUGUUGGGGCUUCAUAUUGUCCUUGGAUCAUCCUACUCUCACUAAAAAUGAAUUUAAAUUAUGUCAUAAUUGAAUAUACAUUGUUUUAAUUGAAUGAAAAUGCAUUAGAUAUGACUAAAUUUAUUCAUUUUUGCUUCCCUUUAAAAUUGCAACAGAUGCUGACCUGAAGUUUAGAAAAAUACUCGCUGAGAAAUGGAUUAUCGUCAUCCCACUGGUGAAGGAGAUGUGGUUAAAAAUAGACGGGGAACAGAAGACAUGGUGGGAUGAUGCAAAAGGCUAUAAAUAGAGAUGCAGCUUGGAACUUAAAUGUUCCUGACAUUUCAACUUUAAUACAUGUACAGUGUGAGACCUGGGGAUGUCCUAAAAUUUACACCGUAUACAUGUCCAAAUGUAUGCAUUCCAAAUUCCUGAAGUAGCAGACCUUGGGACAUCACUCAAUGUGGCAAUGUAAACCAAGCAAACAAAAUGUCUCUUAUGCAAAAAAGUCGGUUCUGUCUCCUCUAUUUUGUGUACGUGGUCCAUUACUGACAUCUGUACUAAUUUCUGCACUGUACCCCAGGGCAUUUAAAGGAGACAAUUACAGCAAUGCCAUUCAACCUUGGUUCCAAUGUUCCCCAGUAGCUUUAAAGUACAAAUGUGGAGCCAGUGUUGCAAUGCUUUAACCCUUUAGCGUUCUGCUCAACCAAUUGGCAUAGUACA
Molecule: long non-coding RNA, 1712 nt
Organism: Oreochromis aureus
Lineage: Eukaryota; Metazoa; Chordata; Actinopteri; Cichliformes; Cichlidae
Exons: 4
Source: RefSeq, a predicted model, not a curated record